This 333-nucleotide ribosomal RNA is filed under the name uncultured bacterium. Its description in RNAcentral is "bacterial SSU rRNA". It matches the Rfam family "Bacterial small subunit ribosomal RNA", at positions 335 to 662 of the family's 1533-position model. The record is from RNAcentral.
ACUCCUACGGGAGGCAGCAGUGGGGAAUAUUGCACAAUGGGCGCAAGCCUGAUGCAGCCAUGCCGCGUGUAUGAAGAAGGCCUUCGGUUGUAAAGUACUUUCAGCAGUGAGGAAGGUGGGUAUGUUAAUAGCAUAUUCAUUUGACGUUAGCUGCAGAAGAAGCACCGGCUAACUCCGUGCCAGCAGCCGCGGUAAUACGGAGGGUGCGAGCGUUAAUCGGAAUUACUGGGCGUAAAGCGCAUGCAGGUGGUUGUUAAGUCAGAUGUGAAAGCCCGGGGCUCAACCUCGGAAUUGCAUUUGAAACUGACAAACUAGAGUACUGUAGAGGGGGUA